Molecule: ribosomal RNA, 638 nt
Filed under: Candidatus Bathyarchaeota archaeon
Lineage: Archaea; Thermoproteati; Candidatus Bathyarchaeota
Description: partial 23S ribosomal RNA
Rfam family: Archaeal large subunit ribosomal RNA
Source: RNAcentral
GAGCUUGGCAUGAUACGCCACCUGACGGAUGGCUUGGCUUGGGCGCUGAUGAAGGGCGUGGCAAGCUGCGAUAAGCUCCGGGUAGGCGCAUGCAGCCUUCGAUCCGGAGAUUCCCUAAUGGGACCUCCCGCUGCAGGGAAACUUGCAGCGCCCCUGAUAGGGGUGGGAACCCCCUGAACGGAAACAUCCAAGUAAGGGGAGGAAGAGAAAUCAAUCGAGAUUCCCCUAGUUAGCGGCGAGCGAAAGGGGAAGAGUCCAAACCGAACCUGCAUGGGAAACCAUGUAGGGAUGUAGGGUUGUAGGGCCCGACCGCACCCUCGCCUGUGAAGUCGAAGUGGCCUGGAACGGCCUGCCGUAGAGGGUGACAGCCCCAUAGACGUAAACAGGCAGGGUUGGUUGGUGUCCCUGACUAGUAUGCCUUGGUUCAGGCAUAUGAAGCUGGGAGGAAACAACUUCCAAGACUAAAUACGUCCCAAGACCGAUAGCGCACCAGUACCGUGAGGGAAAGCUGAAAAGCACCCCGGAAGGGGGGUGAAAAGUGCCUGAAAUCAGGUGGUUAAAGACGUGUACGGUCUGAAAGGGUAGAUCCCCUCUGAAGGAAACCUUAGCGAUAGGGGAGUACGAGGAGGGGGGACCAG